RNAcentral lists this unclassified non-coding RNA (87 nucleotides) under Pseudomonas cedrina. The record is from RNAcentral. Lineage: Bacteria; Pseudomonadati; Pseudomonadota; Gammaproteobacteria; Pseudomonadales; Pseudomonadaceae.
UGUGGGAGCUGGCUUGCCUGCGAAAGCAUCACCUCGGUGUGCCUGAUGCCCCGAGUCGUCUGUAUCGCAGGCAAGCCAGCUCCCACA